GACGAACGCUGGCGGCGUGCUUAACACAUGCAAGUCGAACGGAAAGGCCCUGCUUUUGUGGGGUGCUCGAGUGGCGAACGGGUGAGUAACACGUGAGUAACCUGCCCUUGACUUUGGGAUAACUUCAGGAAACUGGGGCUAAUACCGGAUAGGAGCUCCUGCUGCAUGGUGGGGGUUGGAAAGUUUCGGCGGGUGGGGAUGGACUCGCGGCUUAUCAGCUUGUUGGUGGGGUAGUGGCUUACCAAGGCUUUGACGGGUAGCCGGCCUGAGAGGGUGACCGGCCACAUUGGGACUGAGAUACGGCCCAGACUCCUACGGGAGGCAGCAGUGGGGAAUAUUGCACAAUGGGCGGAAGCCGGAUGCAGCAACGCCGCGUGCGGGAUGACGGCCUUCGGGUUGUAAACCGCUUUCGCCUGUGACGAAGCGUGAGUGACGGUAAUGGGUAAAGAAGCACCGGCUAACUACGUG
This 468-nucleotide ribosomal RNA is filed under the name uncultured bacterium. RNAcentral describes it as "partial 16S ribosomal RNA". It matches the Rfam family "Bacterial small subunit ribosomal RNA", at positions 28 to 507 of the family's 1533-position model. The record is from RNAcentral.